RNAcentral lists this ribosomal RNA (290 nucleotides) under uncultured bacterium. RNAcentral describes it as "partial 16S ribosomal RNA". It matches the Rfam family "Bacterial small subunit ribosomal RNA", at positions 775 to 1067 of the family's 1533-position model. The record is from RNAcentral.
GGAUUAGAUACCCUGGUAGUCCACGCCGUAAACGAUGAGAACUAGACGUUGGAUAUUUAUAUCUAGUGUCGCAGCUAACGCAUUAAGUUCUCCGCCUGGGGAGUACGGCCGCAAGGUUGAAACUCAAAGUAAUUGACGGGGGCCCGCACAAGCGGUGGAGCAUGUGGUUUAAUUCGAUGCAACGCGAAGAACCUUACCAGGGCUUGACAUCAUCAGAACUUGUUAGAGAUAACUCGGUGCCUUCGGGAACUGAUAGACAGGUGCUGCAUGGCUGUCGUCAGCUCGUGCCG